This 1303-nucleotide long non-coding RNA is filed under the name Manihot esculenta (cassava). Its description in RNAcentral is "long non-coding RNA (MESC_LNC002331)". The record is from RNAcentral. Lineage: Eukaryota; Viridiplantae; Streptophyta; Magnoliopsida; Malpighiales; Euphorbiaceae.
GGGAGGGGGGUUGGGGCAUAGAUGAAUUUUAGACAGCAGGGCUUCAAGAUUUUUGACUUCUAAGACAAAUAAUCAAAGUGAAAAUUUUAGUGAAUUAUUUAAAUGGUUAAAGGAUUCUCAUGGGAAGAAUUUCCUGUGAAAAUAAACAAGGAAAAUAUAAAUGGUUACCGUGAAGAUCAAUUUGUGUCUUUUGAGUUCAGUUUGCUGUUAAUUAUGUAGUAUGUUUGGGAUUUGAUGUUGGAGAAUUCCAGGGUGCGAGAAUGAGAUCCACACAUGAAUUGUUGGCAAAAUGCUUAAAGAAAUGGGGCAAAAGAUUAAAAAAAAAAAAAUUCCAUGCUCUCAGUGUUACCAGAUUUGGACUUUGUAUUUCUUUAUACAUUUCCUAAGAGUUUCAAGACUAUGCAGCUUGUAUUUAAAAAAAGGGCUUUCAUCACUUAAAAGUGCAUGUAUGUUUUUGCACAUUUUAGCCAUCCUAUUUAUCUCAGAACAUAAUUUCUCCCUUGGGAACAAAUAGCUCGAUGACUCCUAAACUAGUUAGAAUCAUGUGUCAAAACCUGGAUGAGUAUAACCCACUCUAUAAUGCUGUGCAUGUUGAUGUUAAGAAGCUCAUAUUGCAUGAGGUUAAAUAUUCCCUAUGAUGCAUUAAAAUGUACCAACUUAACAUUUAGAAUUCUGAUCAACUUGGUAACACCUACAGUUUUGCCAUCCCUGAAAAUAAUUUGAUAGUAGAAGUAUCAUUGAAAAUUAACGUAACGGGUAUGAGAGGUAUCUCUAAAUUAUUACAGAUUAGGCCGUUGUAGCCUUCCCAAACAUAAGCUGUCCUUGCAUUUCAGGAAAAAACAUAAGCUGCCCCUGCCUGCAAUAUUACAUUUUUCUGCAAUAUUGGAGGACAGUGCAGAUUAGUAACUCCACGUUGUGAUUAGUUAACUGCAUAGCUCUCACUUUCUUCCUUUAACAAACAGCCACGAUUUAUGUAGAUCAAAGUGCAUCUUUUAUGACUGUAAUGCUAGAAUACCUUUUUCUAAUGCCCUCUACUGUCCAAUCCCCUCUCCAAAAGAAAAUCAUAUAUAGAAAUGCUUGAGCUCUUAGUUUGCCUUCUUUCAUUUCCUUUUUUUGUUACUUUGUGGACAUGGGCAAGAAUGGGGAUAUCUCAUGUAAUAUAUUGUGUGUCAACAUUAUGAAGCCUUUCUGUAUAUUUGAUUACAUGAUUCUGCACUUUCUUGCUAAUAAGCCAGGUUAUCUUAACCUGGCGUUAAAUUAAAGGAUCUGCUUGAACCUGCCCCUCUUUUUUUUUUUUGUGUAG